GACGAACGCUGGCGGCGUGCUUAACACAUGCAAGUCGAACGAAGUGGCGAACGGGUGAGUAACGCGUAAUCAACCUGCCCUUCAGAGGGGGACAACAGUUGGAAACGACUGCUAAUACCGCAUACUGAAUGUGGGGAUUGCGUCUGAUUAGCUAGUUGGAGGGGUAACGGCCCACCAAGUCGAUGAUCAGUAGCCGGGCUGAGAGGAUGAACGGCCAAAGUGGGACUGAGACACGGCCGAGACUCCUUCGGGAGGCAGCAGUGGGGAAUCUUCCGCAAUGGACGAAAGUCUGACGGAGCAACGCUGCGAGAGUGAUGAAGGCCUUCGGGUUGUAAAGCUGUGUUAAUCGGGACGCGGGAAAGGAAGAGAAAGCCACGGCUAACUACGUGCCAGCAGCCGCGGUAAGAG
This 408-nucleotide ribosomal RNA is filed under the name uncultured bacterium. RNAcentral describes it as "partial 16S ribosomal RNA". It matches the Rfam family "Bacterial small subunit ribosomal RNA", at positions 28 to 526 of the family's 1533-position model. The record is from RNAcentral.